GACAGAGGUCCCAAGCGUUAGGCGGAAUCACUGGGCUUAAAGCGUGUGUAGGCGGAUUUGUAAGUACCUUGUGAAAUCCCGAGGCUCAACCUCGGAACUGCCUUUGAUACUGGCGACCUUGGAGUCCGGGAGAGGUGAGUGGAACUCCGAGUGUAGAGGUGAAAUUCGUAGAUAUUCGGAAGAACACCAGUGGCGAAGGCGGCUCACUGGCCCGGUACUGACGCUCAUGUGCGAAAGCGUGGGGAGCAAACAGG
This 254-nucleotide ribosomal RNA is filed under the name uncultured bacterium. RNAcentral's name for it is "partial 16S ribosomal RNA". It matches the Rfam family "Bacterial small subunit ribosomal RNA", at positions 524 to 776 of the family's 1533-position model. The record is from RNAcentral.